This 1086-nucleotide long non-coding RNA is filed under the name Phoenix dactylifera (date palm). RNAcentral's name for it is "long non-coding RNA (PDAC_LNC009654)". Lineage: Eukaryota; Viridiplantae; Streptophyta; Magnoliopsida; Arecales; Arecaceae. The record is from RNAcentral.
UCCGGUCUCAAUGAUGACGACGAUGAGAAUGGUGUAGGCGGGGGCGGCGGAGGCAACAACCCUGUUGACGGCGAAGUUGGCGACGUCAGCCGUGCUGAAGGUGUUGAUGGGGGUGAGGGCAAAGGAUGACGUCUUUCGCCACACUAUUUUUGCUUCUUUGCUCAGAUUAGUUGAGAUCUAUGUACUUUCCUUUUGUUCAGCCUCUACUGAGGUUAGUGUAAAGAUUCGCAGCAUUAAUGAAAAUGAAGAAUUUCCAAAGUAAUUAGGUUCAGUUUUGUUCUCGUUGUUUUUCUUUUCUUCGAGUUUAAGUCGUCGCCCCAAGCUCUUUUUGCUCAGCUUCUGCCGAGGUCAAUGCAUAUAUCGAAAGAUAAUAUAACAGUAAAGGAAUUCCUAAAGUACCUAACUUCGAUCUUUAAUUGUGUUGGACCACUUCUUGAUUUGAGCUUGGGUCAUCUAAUCGAGCUCUUCCCCUUGGUGGCUUCAGCCUAUCUUGGGCUCCUCGGUCGAUCAACUUGGGGUUCAGCUCCUAAGGAAUUCUGAUGGAGCUCGAUUGAAGGAGAUCCCAAGUUGGCCUGGGGUGUCUCCUUUCAUCUCUAGACUAUAGUUCUAAAGGCAUCCCUAGAUUGAGAUUCGAGAGAGAUUCUGAGUGGGCUUAGCCGAGUGGUCUGUCAAGCCUUCGACAUCAGGCUCGGUGUCCUACUUGGGCCAUUAAUGACAUGAUGAGGUUGAGUGGCACGUUAAGCCUUCGGGGUGGUGGCCAGUCUCCUGCUUGGGCCAUUUAUGACUUGAAGAGGUCAAGUGGCAUGCCAAACUUUUAGCACAGGAGCCAGUCUCCUGCUUGGGCCAUUUAUGACCUAAAGAGGUCAAGUGGCGCGCUAAGCCUUCAUCGUGAGGGAUGGUCUUCUGCUUGGGCCAUUUAUGACUUAAAGAAGUCAGGUGGCAUGCCAAGCCUUCGGCAUAGGGGCUGGUCUCCAACUUAGGCCAUUUACAAUCUGAAGAAGUUGAGUAGCAUGCCAAGCCUUUAGCAUGGGGGGCAGUCUUCUGUUUGGGUCAUGUACGACUUAAAGAGGUCUAGUGGCAUGCUAA